This 499-nucleotide ribosomal RNA is filed under the name uncultured bacterium. Its description in RNAcentral is "partial 16S ribosomal RNA". It matches the Rfam family "Bacterial small subunit ribosomal RNA", at positions 28 to 507 of the family's 1533-position model. The record is from RNAcentral.
GAUGAACGCUGGCGGCGUGCCUAAUACAUGCAAGUCGAGCGAACAGACGAGAGUGCUUGCACUCUCUGACGUUAGCGGCGGACGGGUGAGUAACACGUGGGUAACCUACCUAUAAGACUGGGAUAACUUCGGGAAACCGGAGCUAAUACCGGAUAAUAUUUAGCUUCGCAUGAAGCAAUAGUGAAAGACGGUUCUGCUGUCACUUAUAGAUGGACCCGCGGUGUAUUAGCUAGUUGGUGAGGUAACGGCUCACCAAGGCAACGAUACAUAGCCGACCUGAGGAGGUGAACAGGCACACUGGGACUGGGGCACGGCCCAGGCUCCUACGGGAGGCAGCAGUAGGGAAUCUUCCGCAAUGGACGAAAGUCUGACGGAGCAAUGCCGCGUGAGUGAAGAAGGUUUUCGGAUCGUAAAACUCUUUUGUAAGGGAAGAACAAGUACGUUAGUAACUGAACGUACCUUGACGGUACCUUACCAGAAAGCCACGGCUAACUACGUG